AACUUCUGAAUGUUGACCUCGGAUCAGGUAGGAAUACCCGCUGAACUUAAGCAUAUCAAUAAGCGGAGGAAAAGAAACCAACAGGGAUUGCCCUAGUAACGGCGAGUGAAGCGGCAACAGCUCAAAUUUGAAAUCUGGCUCUCGGGCCCGAGUUGUAAUUUGUAGAGGAUGCUUUUGAUGCGGUGCCUUCCGAGUUCCCUGGAACGGGACGCCAUAGAGGGUGAGAGCCCCGUCUGGUUGGAUACCAAAUCUCUGUAAAGCUCCUUCGACGAGUCGAGUAGUUUGGGAAUGCUGCUCUAAAUGGGAGGUAUAUGUCUUCUAAAGCUAAAUACUGGCCAGAGACCGAUAGCGCACAAGUAGAGUGAUCGAAAGAUGAAAAGCACUUUGAAAAGAGAGUUAAAAAGUACGUGAAAUUGUUGAAAGGGAAGCGUUUAUGACCAGACUUGGGCUUGGAUAAUCAUCUGGGGUUCUCCCCAGUGCACUUUUCCAGUCCAGGCCAGCAUCAGUUUUCGCCGGGGGAUAAAGGCUUCGGGAAUGUGGCUCCCUCCGGGGAGUGUUAUAGCCCGUUGCGUAAUACCCUGGCGGGGACUGAGGUUCGCGCAUCUGCAAGGAUGCUGGCGUAAUGGUCAUCAACGACCCGUCU
Molecule: ribosomal RNA, 643 nt
Filed under: Fusarium equiseti
Lineage: Eukaryota; Fungi; Ascomycota; Sordariomycetes; Hypocreales; Nectriaceae
Description: eukaryotic LSU rRNA
Rfam family: Eukaryotic large subunit ribosomal RNA
Source: RNAcentral